This 2987-nucleotide long non-coding RNA is filed under the name Theobroma cacao (cacao). RNAcentral's name for it is "long non-coding RNA (TCAC_LNC004518)". The record is from RNAcentral. Lineage: Eukaryota; Viridiplantae; Streptophyta; Magnoliopsida; Malvales; Malvaceae.
UCAUUCUUAUGGCCAGCCAUAGCAAGAACAAAGGAAGAAAAGAAGAACAAAAACCCUAGAGUGAAAAUUCAAGAGAAAAUUGGUGUAUUUCAAGUAAUCAAGCCAUCAAAGGUGAAAUUUCUUAACUCUAGCUUGUGAUCUAUCUUUCCUAUGCAUUAUUUUGCAUUUUCCAUGGUUGAAUCACAAGAUAUCAUGAAGGAUAGUGUGCUGAUCAAACCCUAGGAGAGUGAAUUUGAUGAUUAUUUAGAUAGACUUUUAAGAUAUAUGGAUGUUUUUAGUUGUUUAUGGUGUUAAGUGUAAGAAUUAAGUUUGAAAUUCACAUAUUCCUCAUGAGUUCAUCAUUGGCCGAAUCUUCCUUGUAGAGUGUUGAUGGUGGAUUUGAUUUUAUUUCAAGUGAAUUGGUUAGGAAAUGAUGAAUUAUGGUGAGAAAAUCAAGUAGGAAAAAUCAUAGUGUUGAUGCACCGACCAUGGCCGAAUUUUCUAAAAGAAAAUGUGAGGAUGAAUCUGCCAUAUUUCAAGUUAUUUAACUUGUGUUUGAUGGUUUGGAGAAUUGGAAGAAAAAUGAAAUUAUUGGAGUUGAAUUGGACAUAUUGGCCAAUUAAUCGGGUGAUAGAUCGAGUUAGGCCAACACCGCAUGUAAACGAUAAUUCUAACAAUUUGCGUUCCAUAUCAUGCAUUCAUAUAGAGUUUAGAUUAGUUUUAUAACGAUUUAGCACCAAUGUGGUAAAUUGCUUGAUUGUGCAUUAUAUUUAGGUGGUGUGUAUUCUGGUAAAAGUAAAGAAAUAGUUCUCAAGGAUCAAGAAUCUGAGUACUCGAAACUCAAUUUCCAUUAUAGUGAGUAACCUUACUAUCGUCUUAAUUAUCUAAAGUAGUUUUUAUUCAUUUUUGUGAUUUGAUAGAAAAAUGAGUUUAAAUGGUAAAUCUUUAUGUUUUAUAAGCAAAAUAUGAUUAAAUGAAAUGAUUUUAGAAAAUUGUCUUGAAAUUGACAGAUGGUUUUGAAAAUGGAAUAAUUGGAGACUAAUUGCUAUGUUAUAAAUCAUGGUUUGAAUUGAAUGGCUUAUGAUAAUAUUGGCAUGAAUGGUUGGAUUUGGUAAAUGUGAUGAAAAAGUAUGAAUUGUUGAUUUGCCUUGAGAGGCUGUAAAAUAAAAUAAUUGUCAUGUCAUGCUGUUGAAUUUUAUUGAAUUGGUGGGUUAUAAUUGGUCGCUGCAGUGGACGGGUUCCAUAGACCAGCUUAUUAGAGGGGCACGGUAACCUUAUUAUAUUCAUAUCUCAGUAUGAGAGGCGCGGUUGGAUAACUCCUAAGGUUAAAACUUUAGAGUUCACUUCACGCCAAACCACCACGUGAGGGUGAACUCAACCAACGCCAAGAAACAACUAUGUUUUCAAAAUAAAAAUAUGAUUUAUGCAUACAUGACUUUUUAACAGCCUUGGCAGACUCGGUUGGGAUAGCCCUCGGCCAAGGUAUCCUUGAUAACUGAGUAUGAGAAUGAUUUUGGCACGAGCCAAACUUUUCAGGAAAUCAUAAGCCUUGUUGUUUAUUUUGGUGAAAUGAAUCUAUUUUAUCUUAUUAAAAUGAGUUCGAAAUGCUGAGAAUCAUUUUUAUGCUAAUCUAUUUUAUCUGUCUCCAUUUACUCAGCUUUAGAUAUUUUAGAUGGUAUUUGUUUACUCACUGGGAUUAUAUAAUCUCACCACCCUCCUUUCCACUCAUUUCAGGCUCAGGAUAGUCGAUAGAUAGCUCACUUUGUUGACGGCUAUAGUUGGACUUGCAUCCUAAAAAACUAUAGGUUUACUGCUUUUGAUACUUUUGGUCGUUCGUGGGCCCACAUGUCACUGUAAAUUAAAUCUUAUGUUUUGGUUAUCUGUAUUACAGUAUGUAUGAAUUUAUUUAGCUUUUACACUACAAAAAUUAUUUACCGGGAACUCUAUAAAUAUCAUUUUAUAAGAAAAUAGAAUAUUUUAUUGAAUAUUUUUAUUAUAUUCAAAUAGUUAUAGUUUUGCUUUAAAUGAAUGUUUUAGACAUCUAAACUUAUUUUUGAUUAUGAAAUAUGUGUUUUCCACUCGCAUACUACAUUUUUAGCUGGUUUCGAAAUUUUCUAGGAAAAAUGACAAAAAUGCCCUUGUGAGAAAAAAAAUUAUUUAUCUAUUGUUUUGAUUUGGAAAUAGUUUAUAGUCUCUCAAAACGUGAUACUUAACAACUGUUGCUCACAGGGGAGGUGCGAAAACUGAUAUUAAAGCCUUGUGAGGUUCCGGUUGGCAUUCCAAGCAAUAAAUGUCUAUCGGGACGUCGUGACGGUUGUCACGGGCUCAAAUGGAGUACUGAGUCAUGACAUGAGAUGAUACAUGCAAUGCCUAAAAUUCAUUAGUUUCUACAUGCCAUAUUUAUGCACUUUGGGAAAUCCCCAGAUAUGUUACACACCAUGCCCAUUUUCCAUCCAUAUGCUAACAACAUUUAACCCAAAUGGGCAUGGCGUGUAACAUCUUUAGGGAUUUCAACAACUUCAAGCAACACCAAAUGCCAUUUAACAAUAAAGCUCUAAACUAAUUUCUUAAGCAAUAUGGCAUUUCAAAUCCCUAAACCCACUCAAUAGCACAACAUAAAAUUUGACAUUCACUAACUUACCAUUUGUUACAAACUUCUUUACUGUGACUGAUUACUUUGUUCUGAACUUGUUCAAACACUUUUCUAUCUUUAAGAAUGAAUCAAAAAAUCGUUUAAUAAACCUAUCGUGUAAUAUAUCUAGCCUUUAUAGUUUACAUCAAUGUCAAAAACAAUCACAAAAAUCUUCUCCUGCAACAUGAGAAUGGUUUUAACAAAAUGUCGUGUAGCAAAUUUUGGAUAGAUUUAUCUUCACAAACCUAUGCGUGUAUGAGAGUGCACAUGAAUGACGAGGUUUCAUUAAGAGCAUUUUAUCCCAAAAUCUUAUCUUUUGGCUAAAAAUAAUUAAAGUUAUGGAAAAGAUUAUUUUCAAAAAUACUUUAUAUUUGAG